RNAcentral lists this ribosomal RNA (300 nucleotides) under uncultured Streptococcus sp. RNAcentral describes it as "bacterial SSU rRNA". It matches the Rfam family "Bacterial small subunit ribosomal RNA", at positions 1079 to 1382 of the family's 1533-position model. The record is from RNAcentral. Lineage: Bacteria; Bacillati; Bacillota; Bacilli; Lactobacillales; Streptococcaceae.
GGUUAGUCCCGCAACGAGCGCAACCCUAUUGUUAGUUGCCAUCAUUCAGUUGGGCACUCUAGCGAGACUGCCGGUAAUAAACCGGAGGAAGGCGGGAUGACGUCAAAUCAUCAUGCCCCUUAUGACCUGGGCUACACACGUGCUACAAUGGUUGGUACAACGAGUUGCGAGUCGGUGACGGCGAGCUAAUCUCUUAAAGCCAAUCUCAGUUCGGAUUGUAGGCUGCAACUCGCCUACAUGAAGUCGGAAUCGCUAGUAAUCGCGGAUCAGCACGCCGCGGUGAAUACGUUCCCGGGCCUU